AUCAGAAUGCUACCGAUCUCUAUUACAGACCACUUAAAAAUAUGGAGAAGAAUAGCCAGAAUUACCACAACUACUGAAUCAGCGUAAUCUUAAAAGUCGGCAGUGCUAUAUUCUGGAAUGAAAAAAUACAGACUUUGGAAUGUUAUUGGAGGAAGAUAAUUGAAUAUUUGAAGGAAAGGGACUUCUGAGCAAAGAAUGCAUUGAAAAGGGAGCAAAAAUAGCCGUCUGAGUCCUGCUUGAUCAUCAGUAGAGAAGAAUCAACGUGGAUUUUCACAGGCAAGUGGAGGAGCUCAUCCAGGGUGAAGGUAAACAAUGAGUCUUGGAACGGUACAUCAAAAACUUUAUGAUACUGAAGCAUCCAUGCGUCCCUGGAAGAAAUCCCAGUUGAUGAUGGUGGAUGAUCAUCUUAAGUGA
RNAcentral lists this long non-coding RNA (414 nucleotides) under Mustela putorius furo (domestic ferret). Its description in RNAcentral is "lncRNA (ENSMPUG00000028872.1)". The record is from RNAcentral. Lineage: Eukaryota; Metazoa; Chordata; Mammalia; Carnivora; Mustelidae.